This is a long non-coding RNA of Uloborus diversus, 346 nucleotides long. RefSeq lists it as uncharacterized. The record is from RefSeq and is a predicted model, not a curated record. The transcript is spliced from 3 exons. Lineage: Eukaryota; Metazoa; Arthropoda; Arachnida; Araneae; Uloboridae.
UAUCUUUAGAAUGUGAUUCAAGCGCAGUCCUUCUGUGAAUAAGAGUCAAGGGUACUUUUGCUCUUUUAAUUCUAUGCUUUGAUGUCACAUGGGAAAGACUCGGAACAAGUUUAAUACUGCUCUGCUAAAAAACAGAGAAAAACUGUAAAAAUGUUUUAGAUUGCGCAAAACGAUGCGCAAAAGGUGUUUCCUUUCAUACUUGAAGAUAAACUAAUGAAUUCAAGGUAUCGACAGCCAUUUUUGUUGAUAUUUCGGCUGUGAUGAGGCAGGACUGCUCAUUUGUAAUCCAAGUUACAGAUGCUUUCAUAAUAUAAGGCCUAAUGAUGGCACCAAAGUCGGCAAAGAU